UACAGAGGUCUCAAGCGUUGUUCGGAUUCAUUGGGCGUAAAGGGUGUGUAGGUGGCGCCGUAAGUCGGGUGUGAAAUUUCGGAGCUUAACUCCGAAACUGCAUUCGAUACUGCGGUGCUUGAGGACUGGAGAGGAGACUGGAAUUCAUGGUGUAGCAGUGAAAUGCGUAGAUAUCGUGAGGAACACCAGAGGCGAAGGCGGUUACCUGGACAGUUACUGACGCUCAGGCACGAAAGCGUGGGGAGCAAAAGGG
RNAcentral lists this ribosomal RNA (253 nucleotides) under uncultured bacterium. Its description in RNAcentral is "partial 16S ribosomal RNA". It matches the Rfam family "Bacterial small subunit ribosomal RNA", at positions 524 to 776 of the family's 1533-position model. The record is from RNAcentral.